RNAcentral lists this ribosomal RNA (207 nucleotides) under uncultured Mesotoga sp. RNAcentral describes it as "partial 16S ribosomal RNA". It matches the Rfam family "Bacterial small subunit ribosomal RNA", at positions 568 to 774 of the family's 1533-position model. The record is from RNAcentral. Lineage: Bacteria; Thermotogati; Thermotogota; Thermotogae; Kosmotogales; Kosmotogaceae.
AGCGUAGGUGGCCUAACAUGUCAACUGUGAAAACCCGGAGCUCAACUCCGGACUUGCAGUUGAAACUGGUAGGCUUGAGGACGGUAGAGGAAGACGGAACUGCCAGUGUAGGGGUAAAAUCCUUAGAUAUUGGCAGGAACGCCGGUGACGAUGGUGGUUUUCUGGGCCGGUUCUGACACUGAUGCUCGAAAGCCAGGGGAGCGAACG